UACGUAGGGUGCAAGCGUUGUCCGGAAUUAUUGGGCGUAAAGAGCUCGUAGGCGGUCUGUCGCGUCUGCUGUGAAAACUCAGGGCUUAACCCUGAGCUUGCAGUGGGUACGGGCAGACUAGAGUGCGGUAGGGGAGACUGGAAUUCCUGGUGUAGCGGUGAAAUGCGCAGAUAUCAGGAGGAACACCGGUGGCGAAGGCGGGUCUCUGGGCCGUAACUGACGCUGGAGGAGCGAAAGCGUGGGGAGCAAACAGG
Molecule: ribosomal RNA, 254 nt
Filed under: uncultured bacterium
Lineage: Bacteria
Description: partial 16S ribosomal RNA
Rfam family: Bacterial small subunit ribosomal RNA
Source: RNAcentral